This 72-nucleotide transfer RNA is filed under the name Ictidomys tridecemlineatus (thirteen-lined ground squirrel). Its description in RNAcentral is "Spermophilus tridecemlineatus (thirteen-lined ground squirrel) tRNA". It matches the Rfam family "tRNA". Rfam says of the family: Transfer RNA (tRNA) molecules are approximately 80 nucleotides in length. The record is from Rfam by way of RNAcentral. Lineage: Eukaryota; Metazoa; Chordata; Mammalia; Rodentia; Sciuridae.
GGGGAUGUAACUCAGUGGUAUAGUGCUUGCCUAGAAUGCAUAAAGCCCUGAGUUCAAUUCCUAGUACCACUA